Armillaria mellea is the source of this 79-nucleotide non-coding RNA. The record is from the annotation of a GenBank genome assembly. Lineage: Eukaryota; Fungi; Basidiomycota; Agaricomycetes; Agaricales; Physalacriaceae.
GGGCUUAUAGCGCAGUGGUAGCGCGCACGCUUUGCAUUGUGGCUGUGUGAGGUCCGGGGUUCAAUCCCCCGUGAGUCCA